This 30-nucleotide non-coding RNA is filed under the name Homo sapiens (human). The record is from RNAcentral. Lineage: Eukaryota; Metazoa; Chordata; Mammalia; Primates; Hominidae.
UNCCUUAGCCAGGUUGCCCUUGACGAUGGU